GGCGGCGUAGGGCGCGGGCGGCAGGUUCGUGGGCGGCAGCAGGCACCGGCGAGGGCAGCCCCCUCUCGGCGGUCCCUCCGUGCCCUGGAGAUGCUGUGAUGCUGUUUAGCCGUGCCCUCCCUGGGGCUCAGCUCAGGUCCGUGCCCAGCGGCUGGUGGAGUGUGGCGAGUUGUGCUUCCUGCCGGGCGGGAGCUGCCUUGGGAAGCUGCUCUGUCCCCACGGCUGUGCCGAGCUGGGAGCUUGGACAGCAGGAUGUCGAGUGCCACCGUGUCCCUGAGGUCCCCCUUUCUCCUGUUGGGAGAGCACGAGGCGGAUGGAGAGGAUCCCCAGGCAUCUGCAGGAACAAGGGACUUCUAUGACUCCAACUUGCCUACUGCAGCUGUAGGAUGGACUUUCAAGAUAGCAUUGGGAAUGUGCCAGCACUCUCCUGCUGAAGUUUUUGUCUGCUGUAUUUGAACACAAUGAGUAAAACUGAAGUCAGGUCUGUUCUGGAGUGUGUUA
Molecule: long non-coding RNA, 501 nt
Organism: Pipra filicauda (Wire-tailed manakin)
Lineage: Eukaryota; Metazoa; Chordata; Aves; Passeriformes; Pipridae
Exons: 3
Source: RefSeq, a predicted model, not a curated record